CGAUGUCGGCUCAUCGCAUCCUGGAGCUGAAGCAGGUUCCAAGGGUUGGGCUGUUCGCCCAUUAAAGCGGUACGCGAGCUGGGUUCAGAACGUCGUGAGACAGUUCGGUCCCUAUCCGUCGUGGGCGUAGGAUAUUUGAGAGGAGCUGUCCUUAGUACGAGAGGACCGGGAUGGACGGACCGCUGGUGCAUCUGUUAGACUGCCAAGUCUAUAGCAGAGUAGCCAAGUCUGGAUUUGAUAAACGCUGAAGGCAUCUAAGCGUGAAACAGACCUCAAGAUAAGAUAUCCCAUUCGAAAGAAGUAAGACCCCUUAUAGACGAUGAGGUUGAUAGGUUGGAGGUGGAAGUAUGGUGACAUACGUAGCUGACCAAUACUAAUGGUUCGAGGGUUUGACCUG
This 397-nucleotide non-coding RNA is filed under the name Epulopiscium sp. Nele67-Bin004. Its description in RNAcentral is "Bacterial large subunit ribosomal RNA". It matches the Rfam family "Bacterial large subunit ribosomal RNA", at positions 2527 to 2925 of the family's 2925-position model. Lineage: Bacteria; Bacillati; Bacillota; Clostridia; Lachnospirales; Lachnospiraceae. The record is from Rfam by way of RNAcentral.